This 73-nucleotide transfer RNA is filed under the name Chloroflexota bacterium. Its description in RNAcentral is "Chloroflexi bacterium (marine metagenome) tRNA-Lys". It matches the Rfam family "tRNA". Rfam says of the family: Transfer RNA (tRNA) molecules are approximately 80 nucleotides in length. Their secondary structure includes four short double-helical elements and three loops (D, anti-codon, and T loops). Further hydrogen bonds mediate the characteristic L-shaped molecular structure. tRNAs have two regions of fundamental functional importance: the anti-codon, which is responsible for specific mRNA codon recognition, and the 3' end, to which the tRNAs corresponding amino acid is attached (by aminoacyl-tRNA synthetases). tRNAs cope with the degeneracy of the genetic code in two manners: having more than one tRNA (with a specific anti-codon) for a particular amino acid; and 'wobble' base-pairing, i.e. permitting non-standard base-pairing at the 3rd anti-codon position. Lineage: Bacteria; Bacillati; Chloroflexota. RNAcentral also lists the same sequence under 1 other name. The record is from RNAcentral.
GCGCCGCUAGCUCAAUUGGCAGAGCAGGGGCCUUUUAAGCCCAAGGUUACAGGUUCGAUUCCUGUGCGGCGCA